Molecule: ribosomal RNA, 253 nt
Filed under: uncultured bacterium
Lineage: Bacteria
Description: partial 16S ribosomal RNA
Rfam family: Bacterial small subunit ribosomal RNA
Source: RNAcentral
UACGGAGGGUGCAAGCGUUGUCCGGAUUUAUUGGGUUUAAAGGGUGCGUAGGCGGUCUUUUAAGUCAGUGGUGAAAUCCUCCAGCUCAACUGGAGAACUGCCAUUGAUACUGGAAGACUUGAGUAUAGUUGAGGUAGGCGGAAUUGACAGUGUAGCGGUGAAAUGCAUGGAUAUUGUCAAGAACCCCGAUUGCGAAGGCAGCUUACUAAACUAUAACUGACGCUGAGGCACGAAAGUGUGGGGAUCAAACAGG